UGGUUCUGGCAUCGAUGAAGAACGCAGCGAAAUGCGAUAAGUAAUGUGAAUUGCAGAAUUCAGUGAAUCAUCGAAUCUUUGAACGCACAUUGCGCCCCCUGGUAUUCCGGCGGGCAUGCCUAUUCGAGCGUCAUUUCUAUCCUCAAGCUCUGCUUGGUAUUGGGAGGCAAGCCUCAUCCCCCUGGGGGGAGGCUCCCCCGAAAAUCAGCGGCGGAUCGGUCGGGGUCCCAGCGCAGUGACUUUUUUUUCUCGCUGAUUGGACCCCCGGGCGGCUCCUGCCGGGCUAAAAAACAUUUUUAAUUUUCAGGAUUGACCUCGGAUUAGGUAGGGAUACCCGCUGA
Molecule: unclassified non-coding RNA, 341 nt
Filed under: uncultured fungus
Lineage: Eukaryota; Fungi
Description: partial contains 5.8S ribosomal RNA and internal transcribed spacer 2
Rfam family: 5.8S ribosomal RNA (bases 1-133)
Source: RNAcentral